This 483-nucleotide ribosomal RNA is filed under the name uncultured bacterium. RNAcentral describes it as "partial 16S ribosomal RNA". It matches the Rfam family "Bacterial small subunit ribosomal RNA", at positions 28 to 523 of the family's 1533-position model. The record is from RNAcentral.
GACGAACGCUGGCGGCGUGCUUAACACAUGCAAGUCGAACGAUGAAGCCGGAGCUUGCUCCGGUGGAUUAGUGGCGAACGGGUGAGUAACACGUGAGCAAUCUGCCCUUGACUCUGGGAUAACUGCGGGAAACUGUAGCUAAUACCGGAUACGACACCUUGGGGCAUCCCAGGGUGUGGAAAGAAUUUCGGUCAAGGAUGAGCUCGCGGCCUAUCAGCUAGUUGGUGAGGUAAUGGCUCACCAAGGCGACGACGGGUAGCCGGCCUGAGAGGGGGACCGGCCAGACGGGACUUGGGAACCGGCCAGCAUGCAUACGGGGGGAGGCAGUGGGGAAUAUGGCACAGUGGGCGAAGGCCUGAUGCGGCAACGCCGGGUGAGGAAUGAAGGCCUUCGGGUUGUAAACCUCUUUUAGCAGGGAAGAAGCGAAAGUGACGGUACCUGCAGAAAAGGCACCGGCAAACUACGUGCCACCCGCCGCGGUAA